UAUCUCUGUAGAGUCUGCAUAUCAAUAAGCGGAGGAAAAGAAACUAACAAGGAUUCCCUUAGUAACGGCGAGUGAAGCGGGAAGAGCUCAAAUUUGAAAUCUUCAAGGUUCUACCUUGACGAAUUGUAGUUUAAAGAAGUGUUUUCUGUUAGAUGAGUAGCAAAAGUUCCUUGGAAUGGGACAUCAUAGAGGGUGAGAAUCCCGUAUUUGGUUAUUCAUUCUAGCUUUGUGAUACACUUUCAAAGAGUCGGAUUGUUUGGGAAUGCAGUCCAAAAUGGGUGGUAAAUUUCAUCUAAAGCUAAAUAUUGGCGAGAGACCGAUAGCGAACAAGUACCGUGAGGGAAAGACGAAAAGAACUUUGAAAAGAGAGUUAAACAGUACGUGAAAUUGUCAAAAGGGAAGCGUUUGACACCAGUGUCGUUUUUCCGAAAAUCAAUUACGAAUGGCUUGAUUUUGUGUUGUAUUGACCUUAUCAGCUUUCUUCACUUUUUUCGAGUCCUUUCUUAAUGCACUUUUCGGUUAACAAGUCAACAUCAAUUUCUUUUGUUGUAAAAGAGGUCAUUCGGAAGGUGGCUUUCUUUUCGGAGAAAGUGUUUAUAGCCCUUAUGCCUCUACAAUCGGAGAGAUUGAGGUCUGCAGCGUAGAUCCUUCGGGGUUAGAUACACUUUGUGCUAAGUUGUAGCCUUUCAUAGACAACUUGUUGACUAUGAUCAGUCAUGUAGGCUUACUCGCUUAGUGCUAUUUUACCUACGCUUAGGAUGUUGACGAGACUGUCGAUCUC
RNAcentral lists this ribosomal RNA (781 nucleotides) under uncultured Neocallimastigales. RNAcentral describes it as "partial large subunit ribosomal RNA". It matches the Rfam family "Eukaryotic large subunit ribosomal RNA", at positions 24 to 645 of the family's 3401-position model. The record is from RNAcentral. Lineage: Eukaryota; Fungi; Neocallimastigomycota; Neocallimastigomycetes; Neocallimastigales.